UGGUGGGGCUGUGUCCUUUCAGCAUGCUGCAAGUGUCCUAGGACACUGAAAAGAAAACUGAAGGCUUCCAGUGUUCUCAUAGGGGAAAAUGGGGCUAGCGAGGGGGAAGGUUGGCAGCGACACUUCCCCCCAUGGGAUGGUUGAAGUAUCAGAAUUUUUAAAAAUACAAUCAGUGAACGAAAAUAUAUCUGGUCUUGAAGAAAAGGGAAAGAGCUGCAUGCCCCAUCAGAGAAAUGAUCCAGUAAAAAAAGUCACAAGUGCUGCUGAGUGAAGGCCUCUAUAGAUGAACCCUUUUUUGAAGUAAUGAUUACUGAGGGAAUUUCUGCAAAGGAGAUACAGAUAUUGACUUUAAAGAAACUGUCUAAAAUGCUGAAUCCUAUUUCCAAAAGUUUCUGCAUCUUGAAUAUGUGCUUUCAAGUCUGACAGUAAAUUCACCACAACACUGUUGUGGAAGCUGCCAGCUGCCCCUGCUCCUAAGGGACCUCCAUAGCAGAAGAUGAUUUUGGAAAGCAAGCAUGGAGAUACAACAGUGACAGAUUUGAUAAAAUACCUCCAGAGCUCAGCAAUGCAAUUUUAUUCUCUGAGGAGAUAAAUGAUGAUGUCUUCCUAGAACAGAUGAUCAAACUUUCAAAAAGGAGAGAUAUAGACGUUAUGGGAGGCUUUACCCACCUUGAUAUUUAUAGGAAGUCUAACUGUGCCAAAAAGGGAAUGUCCAGUAAUUUCCUCACUUGCCUUUACUUAUAAUUUCAUUGUCCAGAAAGUGGAGGAGGCAACACGGGUAUCAGCUUUGUUGGACCUGAUACAAAGCAAUAGGAAAGGACUGGUCAAUGGAGUGGAAAUAAUGGGAAGUAACCAUUGUUGCACCUAAGGUUAGCUUCACCUUGCUAGAGACACCAGGCUGCACACAGAUUGUAGUCUUUUGUAGUUUAUUAAGGAAAUAAGGAAAAAAUAGAUCAUAAAAGGUAGAAGUUCGGUUCCAGUAGAUAGUUACAAAAACAAGGUUGAAAGAAACAAAUCCAUGGAAACAUUAGGCAUGAAACAAGGUCCUUAAAACGAAGCCAAAGUCCCAGAAACGUGGAUACAUCCAGACUACAAAAUAACACAGGAAAGCAGACUUGGUUCUUGAUUCAAGUGAGGAAAUCACUUUGACAAAUUUCUCCCUCUCAACAGACUGUUUUAAUAGCAUAACAUAAAGGCGUUCCUUUGAACACCCUCUUAUUUGCUAUUCGGAGACUUCUGCACAACCCCCGAAAUUCCAGACGACUAGCCCGAUCUAGAGACAUGGCUUCAUCGCUUUCUCUUUCAAGGCCACAGGGCUCGUUAGCAUUAUCAGACAGAGGCUGGGAGCUGCUCUCCCUUUCUGCUUCUUGCACCUGAAAACCAUCAUCAUUAACAACAACAUUUCUUUUCUUGGGAAACCUUCCUGCUCCUCAUCUCCCACAGCAAGAACACUCUGCACUUGAACCCCAUAAUUCCCAUCAUCUUGAAACUCAUCCUGAACCUGAAUCCCAUCAUCUUGAAACUGCAUCCCAGAAUACUCAAACUGCAUCCCAGAAUACUCAUCAGAGUCACACAAAGGCUGAGUCACAACAACCAUGUCCUUUUGUGAUUUGGCAUACAGAAGAAAGGGAAGCCAACUAUAACAGACAUGCACUCUGGAUGUUAAUAAAGUAGAUUUCAAUGAGCUAAGAAAAGGAAAGGGAUUCAGAAUGGAUGGGAAUAUUUAAAGAGAAGAUAUUGAAUUGUAAACCAUUAUAAUGUAGUAGAAAAGUGUGAGAUGUUUUUAAAAAAACAAACAAGGAUAGGCAUACAAAGAACUUUUAGAUGAGCUGAAAUUUAAAAGUGAGCUCUAUAAAAGAUGGUGAAAUAGUAACAGUAAACAGGAAGAAGGUAAAGCUACACAGUAACACCUUUGCCUCUACCUUUUCCCAAUAGAAAAACAGUGCUCUAUCUGAUGCAAAUAGAACAAAUAAUGUAGGCCAGGAUAAAAAUGAGGUGGCAUGGUAAUAUCUAACUAUUUUAAAUUAAUUCUCAUGGCCAGAUGAAUGGCACCCAAGACUAUCAAAUGAACUAGCAAAUGU
Anolis carolinensis (green anole) is the source of this 2081-nucleotide long non-coding RNA. RefSeq lists it as uncharacterized. The record is from RefSeq and is a predicted model, not a curated record. NCBI's taxonomy places the organism in Eukaryota, Metazoa, Chordata, Lepidosauria, Squamata, Anolidae. The transcript is spliced from 4 exons.